AACGAACGCUGGCGGCAUGCCUAACACAUGCAAGUCGAACGAACCCUUCGGGGCUAGUGGCGGACGGGUGAGUAACGCGUGGGAACCUGCCCUUAGGUUCGGAAUAACUCAGCGAAAGGGGUGCUAAUACCGAAUGUGCUCUUCGGGGGAAAGAUUUAUCGCCUUUGGAUCGGCCCGCGUUGGAUUAGCUAGUUGGUUGGGGUAAAGGCUCACCAAGGCGACGAUCAGUAGCUGGUCUGAGAGGAUGAUCAGCCACAUUGGGACUGAGACACGGCCCAGACUCCUACGGGAGGCAGCAGUGGGGAAUCUUGCGCAAUGGGCGAAAGCCUGACGCAGCCAUGCCGCGUGAAUGAUGAAGGUCUUAGGGUUGUAAAGUUCUUUUACCGGGGACGAUAAUGACAGUACCCGGAGAAGAAGCCCCGGCUAACUCCGUG
This 434-nucleotide ribosomal RNA is filed under the name uncultured bacterium. RNAcentral's name for it is "partial 16S ribosomal RNA". It matches the Rfam family "Bacterial small subunit ribosomal RNA", at positions 29 to 507 of the family's 1533-position model. The record is from RNAcentral.